CAGCAGAGAAACAGCUUCAUCGUCCUCCUCACUCUCUCUCACCUUGCGAACUCAACCUUAGCUAGCAAUGGUAAUCUCACGCACUCGAAACUCAUCCUUCUUAUGACAUCAACAAAACCCUCUCACGCUCUCAACGAACCCCUCUCAAUCACUCUCAGCUCUCACAAUAUUUCCAACAGCAAGCACAUGAGAAAGAUAAAAAAGAAAGAAAAAGAAGUACUCACAAAGCGUCACGGCGGCGAUGGUGAAGGACGCGAAGAAGCUGGCCUCCAGGGUUUCCAAUGGGGUCUUUGCUGUUCAAAAGGAGUGUUUCUGCAAAGCACUUUGGAUGCUCAGACACAUAAUCACCCUAUCCAUGUUAGAUUCAAGAAAAGUGAAAAUUGGUUACAAGGAGGUUGUGGAUGUUGGUAACAUAUUGUAGUGACAACUUGUGUUUUGUCAUGACUUUAACUUGUUUGUGCAUGAACUGCUGCCAGGGUCUUGAAUGGAACAUACACAUCUCUGUCAUGGUCUGCUUCAUGAAGUAGCAGGAUAUGGUCUUGAUUUGGACUUGUCGAUGCAGAUUGUUGGUUGUUGCUAUAGCAGUUGAUGGUUGAUGCAGGUUCAAUGACUGGGCUGGUUCAACAUAUCUGCUUCUGCCUUCAUUGGGACUUAAUGCAGGAUGGUAUUUUUGCUUCCUGAUUGUACAUCCUUGGAUCCUUCAGGAAGGCCCAUCUUCUCUACCAAAACCUUCAAAGCUGCUUCAGUAGGCAUUCCAUGGGCAACAAACUUAUGCUCUGACUGUGACACUCCGGCAUCAUUACAAACAGCAGCAAUUUUCGCUAUCAUCUGAAGAUUAGCAUCCAAUCGACCAGCUGGCAAAAUUCUCUAUUUGACCAUCAGAUGGAUUAUACGUAGUUCCUUCCACCUUAGAGGCUCGCAGGGUAUCUACAUUAGGGCCACUAGCUACUAGUUUUGAAACAGCCAUCCGGUUUGUUGUCAAUGUACCAGUUUUUAUCAGAGCAAAUCACAGUUGUACAACCCAGAGUUUCGACACUAGGUAGUUUCCGAACCAGGGCAUUCUUCUGGGUCAUUUUGCAAGUACCAAGUGCAAGGCAAGUCGUGAUGACAGCGGGCAAUCCCUCCGGAAUAGCAGCCACAGCCAAUGCCACAGCAAUCUCAAAGUAAUACGUACACUUCUCAAAUGAAAACUUGAAGUUCCACUUUGAGCAAUAGUUCCAAGACAGUCAACUAGUUCUUGCUUAGUCAUACCAAUGCCUGUAUCAGUGAUAGUGAUGAUCCCCAUUAUCCUUAUCAGCUUGAAUUCGGAUAUCAAAAUCAAUUGCAUCCUUCAUCAGGUCAAGCUCUGUAACACUAAAAAAUCGCAGCUUAUCCAAGGCAUCACUUGCAUUACUGAUAAGUUCCCUGAGAAACACUUCCUUGUUACUGUAUAAACUGUUAACAAUAAGGUCCAUGAGCCGACUAAACUCUGCUUGGUAUUCAAAUUUUUCAGCUGGUGGGGAACUUGAUGCAAAUUGUUGGCAAUGCUGCAGGAUCGGUGCCGACUACAACGCUCAAUUGCGUACCGGUUUGAGGCAGCUCACGUCAUAACAAAUGGUUCGGUGGUUCCCUGCGGAGUAGCUCUUGGUUGCAUCCACCUUGGAGGAAAGUCUGAGCAAAGUGCAUCCACCACCAACUACAAUACCCUCUUCAACAGCUGCCUUUGUAGCAUUAAAAGCGUCUUCAACUCUCAAUUUCUUUUCCUAGAGUUUUGUCUCAGUUUGUGCACCAACCUGAGCAAUUGAGCCAUCGGAGUUCUUUAAGGGCAAAGGGAUAUCCAUAGUAACCAGUUUUCCAGAUUUAUGAGAAGCGAUACAGUUACUUCCCAAAUAGAAUCAUAACUGAUGGACCUUUAGCAUGUCCCUUUAAAACCUCAUUUCAAUCACACAAUUUAAGGGAAAUAAAGAGGAUCGUUUUGCUUCCCAUGUUGGGUAUGUUCAAAGCUGCAUUUUCACUGACCGUGUUAUGAUUGAAUAACCGCAACGAACGUUGUUGUUCCAUGUAGCAGUGCAGUAGCAGUACAUGAGUUUUUCGCCUUCUUGGUCAGUUUAGAGUGAAUUACCAAUUGUCAAAGCUAGUUAACAUGGAAGGUUAUAACAAUUGGAUACUUUUGGUUACAGAGUUCACUCUUAAAUCUUUGCAGUCAUGGCAGUGGGCUAGCAACAGUGUAUACUACCU
Lathyrus oleraceus (garden pea) is the source of this 2217-nucleotide long non-coding RNA. RefSeq lists it as uncharacterized. NCBI's taxonomy places the organism in Eukaryota, Viridiplantae, Streptophyta, Magnoliopsida, Fabales, Fabaceae. The record is from RefSeq and is a predicted model, not a curated record. The transcript has 6 exons.